This 29584-nucleotide long non-coding RNA is filed under the name Malus domestica (apple). RNAcentral describes it as "long non-coding RNA (MDOM_LNC002745)". Lineage: Eukaryota; Viridiplantae; Streptophyta; Magnoliopsida; Rosales; Rosaceae. The record is from RNAcentral.
AAUAUUCUCUGAGUCCUUGAAAUUUGAAGAUAUGGCUUCAGUUGCUACUCAAACCAUGGAUGCAAAGAGCAUCAAAUCGCUUGCGGAAUCACCCGCUCUCGGCUCUGUUCCUUCUGCUUAUGCCUUCAACAUAAACCCCAACGAUGAAGCAGAUCCAAACGAUCCCGAAUUUGCAAUCCCCAUAGUUGAUAUGUCUCUUCUCACAUCGGGAUCUCCUGAUCAACGGUCCAAAAUAAUCCACAACCUCGUCAAAAUUUGCCAAGAAUGGGGCUUUUUCAUUGUAAGUAGUUUAACUAAGUACUAACUACUUCAGUUAUUUUUCAGGAGAAAUAUUUAAGUGACGGUUGCUAGUGUUUUAGAGUUACUUGUAGCAAUUUGAUAAAGAAAACAACAAAAAUGAUACUUUUGUCACAUUUUCAAUAAAACAUUUGUAUCCUCUCUAAUAAAUAUGAGUCCCACAUACAUUACUAUUAGAGAGAUGAGAUAAAUAUGAUAUGAAAAAUGUAAUAAGUGUAGCGUUACUCGAAAAAAAAAAAGCAAGCUAAUUAAUCAUGAUCACGAUCUAUUCAUUCCAGGCAAUUAACCAUGGAGUCCCAGAGAGUCUAAUGAAGGGGAUGAUUGACGCGUGCCAUGGAUUUUUCAGCCUCCCAGACGAAGAGAAGGAGGAGUUCAAAUCCGGAAAUGAUGUGCUGGAGAUGUUCAAGUACGGAACCAGCUACAAUCUUGCAUUAGACAAAUUUCUUCUCUGGAGGGACUUCUUCAAGGUGAGAGUACAUCCCGAGUUCUACUCCCUCUACAAACCGGCUUGCUUCAGUGAGGUUUCAAUGGAGUUCAGCAAGAGAACAAGAGAAGUAGCAUUGGAGAUAACACGCGCAAUCUCCGAAAGUUUGGGACUGGAGCCCAAUUACAUCCAUGAUGCGAUGAACAUGGAUCGCGGCCUACAAAUGCUCGCCGCCAACUACUAUCCGCCUUGCCCUCAGCCAGAACAUGCAAUUGGUAUACCACAUCACACUGAUCAUGGCCUUGUCACCCUCCUCAUCCAGAAUGAGAUGAAUGGCCUCCAAGUUGAACAUAAUGGCAAGUGGCUCACCGUCAAUGGCCCUGCCAACGGUUUCUUUGUCAACCUCGCUGACCAAAUGCAAAUUCUUACUAAUGGCAAAUACAAAAGUGUGAUGCAUCGGGCAACUGUGAACAGCAAAGCGACGAGGAUAUCUAUUGCCAUACCACAUGGACCAUCUGUUGAUACACUUAUCGCACCGGCACCGGAGUUACUGGAAAAAGAAGGCCAAGCUCCGAAAUACAUUGGAAUGAAUUAUAAGGAGUAUAUCCAGCUUCAACAGAGCGGCAAGAACUACAUGAAAUCCACCUUUGAUCACAUACUAGCGUAACUGAGCUUUAUACAGAGUCCCAUGGCUUGGUCACACUUCAAACGAUCUCAACCAUAUUGAAAGAUCUGCAGCUGCCUUUUGAUUUCUUUUUCUUCGAACUGUUUUUAGUCUAAAUUUCCUUCUUUUGUUUCAAUGAUCAUGUCAUAUAGGAGUUGGCUUGAUGUGUUAUUAGCACCAAACAGCCUUGUAGUUCAAUAAUAUUUAAGCAGUUUUAGCGAAAUACUUCUGGUACUGUUUAUUUUUAACGAAAAACCACAUUUUUACGUUUUCUUAGUAUUAUUUACUACACCUUUAUUUGUCAUUUUUUAUUAAAACAAAAGUUUUUAUAGAUUUUUCGAUAGUUUCCUUAACAUUUAUAUUAUCAAACAUCGCAGACUAGCAGCCAGUUUCGAUUGAAAAUAGGCUUCAGUUUUCAGGGGAUGGGGCUUUCAAUAUAUUUGGUCUUUUAAGCCAAUGAUUGAUUUGAAAUUGAGCAUAAAAAAUAAGGAAAACUAAUGAAAAUGGUUUGAAAACUUUGAGUUUUAACGAUAAAGACAAAAUAAAUGAUAAAAUAAAUAGUACAAGAAUUGAUUUUUUAGUGUAAAAUAUGAUUUUUCGUUAAAGUAAACGGUACCGGGAGCUUUUCAUUAAAGUUCUUGUUUGUACCAUACUUGACCAAUCCCGAAACUACAACUAAGCUUCAAGUGAAAUUGAUACAUUACCUUGUGCGUCAACAUCAGCUAAAUACACCAUUCCCGGAUGGAGGAAAGGUACUUCCAGAGAAGGGCAGAUGAAGAUCAGACCACACUUCGGUACUUAGAAGUUUCGUGAUUACUCAAGGGAUUGGAUCUUGCAAGUCCCCAACCGAGGAGUUUCCCUCACUCGGGAACUUAGGGGAGCACUGUUUGUACCAUACUUGACCAAUCCCGAAACUACCGAGCACCGGCCAACGCUAUACUGUCAAGGACCCAGAAGAGUUCCCCUCCGACCAGGAGGCCAAUCACUACUCGACACGUGUCAAGAUUAGAAGCCAAUCAGAGCGCAGCACGUGUCGACAUCAAGAACCAAUCAUAACAUGACACAUGUCAAUGUGACAAAGCUACAAGUUUUUCUAUAAAUAGGGGUCAUUCCCCCACAAUAUUGGCUAAUGCCAUUUGUGUCAAAUCAUUCACAAGAACUCACUAAAUUGAGAGCUUGAUCCUUUGUACUUGUGUAAGCCCUUCACUACUAAUAAGAACUCCUAUACUCCGUGGACGUAGCCAAUCUGGGUGAACCACGUACAUCCUGUGUUUGCUUCUCUGUCUCUAUUCAUUUACGUACUUAUCCUCACUAGUGACCGAAGCAACCAAGCGAAGGUCACAAAACCUGACACUUUCUGUUGUACCAAAGUCUUCGCUGAUUUUGUGCAUCAACAUUUGGCGCCGUCUGUGGGAAACGACACUUAUUCCUACUCUCUUCAGCUGUGUCAAGCUGGUUUCUAUCAUUCGUACACUUUCUUUUGAUCAGGCAUCCCUCUCCAGCAUGGGAAGCGAAGGAAGCCACAGCACACAGAAUGACACCCCCAUUGCACAUAGUGCGAAACAACGAAAGAAGGAAGGAAAACGAGUUCUUCUUCAAGCUAAAGUCGAUGAGUUGGAAGCUCAGAACAACAAGAUAGCAAUGAAGAAUGAGGUCCUCCAGGAGCAAUAUGAGAAGCUCUUCGAGACAUUCCACGAAGCUAGGCAAGCUCAGACACGCGAGCUUGUUGCCCCCGUGGAAGUCAACCAUCAACUGGGUGCCCUCCAACAUGGAGGGUCACAUGCAUUCGACAUAGAUAUCCCUGAUAGGGAACAAAUUACCCCUCGAUUUGAUAAUCAACAUGAGGCUUCUCUUAACCCAGUUGCUUCGACCCGAACCAUGAGAAGCGGAGGGAGACACCUCUUUGCUGAAGGGGCAGAAGGAUCGAAAGCCGUCUUUCGCGAUUGUCGGGAUUUCCUGAAGCAACGUCGAGAGAAUUCCAUCCAUAUAAGCUCAAAGAUCAAUGACCCCAAGGAUUUCUGAGAGACUCGGUCCCCUGCCACGGCCCGAGCCGGCCACCAACUUGGGGAAGGUGCAACAAGUCCUAGAGAGACAUGAGGGUACAGGGGACUCAGAGGUGUUCCGACAGACAUACCCUGGAAGCCAGUACAGCGAGUCCAGGGAAAAAUCACAUGCCCUUGAUCAAACCUUCCUAAUUCCAAGAGGAGAUGGAGAUUUACGAAAGAAAGCUCCAGUGGCACAUAACUCCGCUCAGGACCGCCUUGUCCUACAACUUCUUGAGGAAGUAAACAAGUUGAAGGCUGAACGUCAGGCUGAAAUACCUGACUGGAACCAACCCAGGCCUGGCCCUCUUACAAGGAGGAUCCUCAACACCCCCCUUCAAGCAAAGACAAAGCAGAAGCUUGGCUUGCAACUUUAUACUGGAAAAGAGGACCCGAUUGAGCACCUUAACCUCUUUGAGUCCACCAUGGCAUACCGGAUGCACACCGACGAAGAGCGAUGUCUUCUCUUCCCCUCCACCCUCUCUGGCGGAGCUCUAAAUUGGUAUUGUCGUCUUACACCUGAGACGGUAGACUCAUUUGAGGAAUUGAGGAAACUAUUUGUUUCCCAACACAUUUUCCAAACCGAUCGCUUGCACUCUGCAGAUGACCUGUACACUAUCCGCCAGAGGCCAGACGAGUCAUUACGUAUGUAUGCUGGCCGCUUUCAGCCAUGAAUACUCCCGGUGUGCCGAGGCAGACGACAAGACUGCCCUCAAAGCCUUCACGGUAGGCCUACGUGAUUGUUUCUUUAAAUACAUGAUCAAUGCCAAUACUUGGAAGACUUACUCUGAGGUGAUGGCGCAGGCUUAUAACCAUGCCUCCGCCGAGGCAAAGACAUAUCAGGAGAAACCCCCUCACCCAACGCCAUGGAGGAAGAACUAGCAAUAGCUAAAGUUUGACGGUUGGAAAGAUCAUCCAAUGUUUCUCUAGUACAGGACUCUAACAAAGACCCUGAAGACUCCGACAUUGCAGACUCAGACUUAGAGCUAAAGCUAGAAGAGCCCUCAUCACUAGAACUUCCAGGCUCUGACAUCUACAAUAAGAAGAAACAAAUUCUAUCACUACAUGCAUGAUCAAAACAUAAGGAAGUUCCUAUAUUACCCACAUGAAGAUGGUGCAAAGCGAUGCCGGAACCCUUCUCAAUCAGAAAGCAAUCCGUCUUCCACAGUCACUACAAAAAACAAGCAAAUGAAGACCGUGUCAAGCGCCAAAAAAAAAAAAAAAAAAAAAAAAAACAGCUUCAUCCAAAAAAGCUUCACCCGAAAAGCUUCACCUCCAAAACUUCACCCAAAAAGCUUCAUCCAAAAAGUUUCACCCAAAAAGCUUCACCUAAAAAAGCUUCACCCAAAAAAAAAAACUUCACCUCCAAAAAGCUUCACCCAAACAGCUUCACCUAAAAAAGCUUCACCCACAAAGCUUCACCUAAAAAGCUUCACCCACAAAGCUUCACCCAAAAAGCUUCACCUCCAAAACUUCACCCAAAAAACUUCAUCCAAAAAGUUUCAUCCAAAAAGCUUCACCUAAAAAAGCUUCACCCAAAAAAAAAAAAAAAAAAAAAAAAAAAAAAAAAAAAACUUCACCUCCAAAAAGCUUCACCCAAACAGCUUCACCUAAAAAAGCUUCACCCACAAAGCUUCACCUAAAAAGCUUCACCCACAAAGCUUCACCCAAAAAACUUCACCCGAAAAGCUUCACUUAAAAAAGCUUUACCUACACAGCUUCACCUAAAAAAGCUUCACCUAGAAAGCUCCCUCUACAUACUUUCACCUACAAAGCUUCACCAUCAAAAGCUUCACCUCGAAAGCUUCAUCUACAAAGCUUCAUCUACAAAAGCUUCACCAUCAAAGCUUCACCCAAAAAGCUUCACCUAAAAAAGCUUCACCCAAAAAAAAAACUUCACCUCCAAAAAGCUUCACCCAAACAGCUUCACCUAAAAAAGCUUCACCCACAAAGCUUCACCUAAAAAAGCUUCACCCACAAAGCUUCACCCAAAAAACUUCACCCGAAAAGCUUCACUUAAAAAAGCUUCACCUACAAAGCUUCACCUAAAAAAGCUUCACCUAGAAAGCUUCACCUACAUAGCUUCACCCAGAAAGCUUCACCAUCAAAGCUUCACCUAGAAAGCUUCAACACCAAAGCUUCACCUACAAAGCUUCAACACAAAACCUUGCUCCAAAUAAACAAAUUUUGUUCACAAAACCCAAGAUGCCCUUGAACUUGUACAAAAACACAGGUCAACACAAACAUUUGUUUUGUUUUACACCCACAAGGGCAUCCCUGUCAUAACCAAACAAGCAAUUAUGUAUAUGUUUCCAAACAUAUUAUAAUAGAUCCAACAACAAGCCAAAGUCCCAAGUUUCAUAAUGGACAAAAGUACAAGCAAUUCAUCAAUAAUGAAGGUGCUACAAAACUUGGAAUCUGCCCCAAAAUAGAAAUCCAACCCAAGAGACUUUUUCUCUCUCUCCCUCUUCCGCCUCCUUUCAUCUAUCAAAUUUCUGCAACCUCUGCUCUUCUCCAAUGGAGCUGAAUUUUUGGACACCCUAUAGUUUUUGAGCAUAUGAACAACUUUCAAGAAGGAACCAUUUCUGUUUGAGCGACGGAAAUUAAAGUGUUGAAGCUCCAAACAUGACAGUCGGAUUCUUGCAGAUUUCGAAGCUGCUAUGAUGUUUCGAAGAUCUGGAAAUAUUUAACCAUUAGUUCAUUCUGAAUUUUUGAUAUGUUAUGAAAGAGACGAUGAGGCACAACUUCAAUGAAGAAAGCAUGCUGAUCUGAACAAUAGAAAAUGGAGUUUCGAAGCUCACAACAAAUCUGACGGGUUGACAGAAAAAUAAUAACCAGUCAUUCAUCAUACCUGAAUUUCUUGAGUUAUAUAGCUCCGAGGGAUCUCAAAUUUGGAUAUGUUGUAGUUCACAAGCUGAGGAACAACUUCAAUGAAGAAAGCAUGCUGAUCUGAGCAAGAGAAAAUAGAGUUUCAAAGCUCACAACAAAUCUGACGGGUUGACAGACAAAUGAUAAACAGUCACUCAUCAUACCUGGAUUUCUGGAGUUAUACUGCUCCGAGGGACCUCAAAUUUGGAUAUGUUGUAGUUCACAAGUUAAGGAACAACUUCGAUGAAGAAAGUAUGUUGAUCUGAACAAGAGAAAAUGGAGUUUCGAAGCUCACAACAAGUCUGACAGGUUGACAGAAAAAAAUGAUGAACAGUCACUCAUCAUACCUGAAUUUCUGGAUUUGUACUGCUCCGAUGGAUCUCAAAUUUGGAUAUGUUGUAGCUGACAAGGUGAGGAACAACUUCGAUGAAGAAAGUAUGUUGAGAUGAACAAGAAAAAAUGGAGUUUAGAAGCUCACAACAAGUCUGACGGGUUAACAGAAAAAUUGAUGAACAGUUACUCAUCAUACCUGAAUUUCUGGAGUUGUACUACUCCGAUGGAUCUCAAAUUUGGAGAUGUUGUAGUUCACAAGAUAAGGAACAACUUUCAUGAAGACGACUUUGCGAUCUGAGUUAUAGAGAAAUGGUGUUAUCUUGCAUCCACUCAGGCUGAUUAGUGGAAACGAAAAAGCAAUUCCACCAAAGAAAAGAUGAAAAAGAGAGAAAAGCUACUAAUUGCACUUGAUCUUGUCUAGUCAAUAGCAUGCAGCAUCAAAACACACAAAAGUUGGAAAUAUUUUUAGAUAAGGCAUAUGCGAAUGUGUGACAUCGAAACAAGGAUUCGUUACUUUGACAAAUUAGUAACAAGCGAGACACCUCAUUCGGCAACUCUCUUCGCCUGAAGACUUGGGGGACUCCCACCAUAUGCUACUGCACCUUAAUACUCGGCAGUCUCACAACCACUCAGUGACUUGGAUUUUUCAAGUCUCCAACCGAGAAGUUUUCCUCACUCGGGAAAUUAAGGGAACACUACCUCAAACUACAUGCUUCACUCACAAAGCUUCAACAAUACAGGUUUCAACAAAAGCAAAAAUUCAAAAAGAACUUUAUGAAGAAGGCUUUGGUGUAUUUAACACAAUAUAUUUGAAAUGAAGCAAAGCUUAUUUAUUAAUAUUUUCGAUAAGCCACAAAUAUGUACAUAUACAUGAGUCAAAAAUAAACAAACAAAAGGGAGCCUUCACAAAGGUUGCUUAGGGGAAGUCUCAGCAGUCGGUAGAGCCCCAGAAAGAGAAAGCACCGGAGGGGUGGUUAUCCGGAGCCUCAGUACUUGACAAAACCCCAGAAGGAGGAGGCAUUGGAGGUUCAUCAUUUGAAGCUUCAUUACCAGGUACAGCCCCAGAGGACGAAGGCAAUAAAUGCCUUUGGAACAAACCCACAAACCGCUGAUGAUCAAGUAAAACCUUACCAUCAGAUUCCUUCAUCUGGUCAAGCUUCCUCUUCAUGUUUGUAGCAUAGUCAUGGGCGAGCCGGUGCAACUGCUUAUUCUCAUGCUUGAGCCCUCUAAUCUCCUGUUUGAGACUCAUCACUUCAGCAGCCAAUGAUUCAACUUGGCGGGUUCUAGCAAAUAGGCGUUGGGCCAUAUUAGACACAGAACCUGCACACUGAACACUAAGAGCCAGAGAGUCCUUAACAGCCAACUCAUCAGACCGUUUGGAAAGUAGUCUGUUAUCUUUGGGAGUGAGAAGGUUCCUGGCCACCACUGCAGCGGUCAUAUCAUUCUUCAUCACAGAAUCCCCAACGGUAAGAGGACCAGUAGGGGAUAUGAAGGAUGGGCGCCAUAUGUUGUCUGGAGAAGGCGUGGCUGUCUCUUCUCCAAGGUUCAAGUCAAAACGACGGUCGGAGGGUCCAGACAUUUUCAAAUGUGUUGAAGAAGGAAGAGGUCAGACAAAUCAAGAUCUUAGAAGUGCAAGAAAUGAGCUUCUACUGGUAGAGAUUCAAGUGUGCUGUGGAACUUAAUGCCAGCCUCUAUAAAAAUCUGCACUCGACGGAGCUUUCAGAAAUCGAAGAGGCGUUUGCUUUCUCAAAAGCUGGGCUGCUCAGAGACCACGAGGGCCGAUCUCAGAAAUCGAAGAGGCGUUUGCUUUCUCAAAAGCUGGGCUGCUCAGAGACCACGAGGGCCGAUCUCAGAAAUCGAAGAAGCACCUGCUUUUUCAGCCUCGUCAGCACCUGUCACAUGCACAAUCAGCUUUGCGAAAAAUUACGGGCAAUCUGUCGAAGAUUUCUGGUGAAGUAGAAAGCACGUGAAUCUUACUGUUCAAUCACCGCUCUCCAUAUGCACCAUCAACUCCUCGGGUACCACAUAUAACUUUGUCAAAGAUCUCUGACAAAGUUUAGGCACGAGAAUUUCGAAGUUCCAGCUACCCUACUAUUACCCAUAAGGGUAAAGGAACAGCACCACUGCUUGACAACUGGAAAGUCCCUAUGUGUGUCGACCUCCGUGUUUUGCGGCAAGACAGGUUGGCAAGAACGUCCAACCUUUACUCACAUUCGAGAAAAGACUCCCAACAUAAUUACUUUCUCAAAAACCGGAGUAGCACCGCUUUCCGAAUCUCGAGAGUCAGAUCCUCGACGGGAUUGCUUGUUCGAAAACCGAAGAGGCACAACUCUCAGAACUUCGAGAGCCAGAUUUCCUUAGAUAAAGCUUGUCUGUAAUCUUCACACGUAACAUCAGCUUUCCAGAUACCACAUACCACUUUUUCAAAGUGCUCUGACAAAAUUAAAACACGUGAAGCUGGCAGCUCCCACUACAUUGCUGUGACCAAGAAGGGUAAAGGAAUAUCAUUACUACUUGUUAUUGGGAAAUCCCUAUAUACAUUGACCUCCCUCCUCAACGGACAGGCAAACCUGCAAAAAUGCUCAACCCUUUCUCUCGCAUUCGAAAAGGCACCCUCAACAUAACCUCUCGAAAUACUCAGCUUUAUUUCCCCCCGAUAUUACCUCAGCAAAUAAGCCACACCAAGAACAAGAGUAUCUCAUAUCAUCAGGGUCGAAAGCAAGAGUAUCCCAUAUCAUGCUUUCUCCCUAUCUUUGUCUUUGUCCUUGUCCACACCUGCAGGACAAGGAGAAAGAGAGCAGUCAGUCGGAACCUGAAAUCAAACCUCCAAUUUGGAACUGACUGCCUGGAGCCUUUGCCUGGUUGCUUACUUAGCAUUGCUCUCGAGUACUCAUCCUCAACUGCUGUCAAGGUCACGAAUUCCACCGGCAAAUACCUCAUGACAGUUGAUCAGAUAUUGGCUCUUUACACUGAAGCUGCCAAGCGUGGAUGAGUCACUAUGAAGGAAUGUUCUGAAGGACCAUUUAAAUGCAAAGGUUGCACACCACUUCUGUCAUGCAAAAGAUUGAAGCAGAAGGUUCAACGGUGAGCUGAAACAGAUCACUACAGCACGACACUUUUCCAUACCACAUUCAUUAUUCCGUCAACAGCAAAAGUAUCCCAUAUCAUCAAGGUCGAACGUACUCUAGAUUUGAUGGACUUGUUUUGACCCUCAAAUUUUUGAGUCGGCCUUAUACUCUGAAGGGCACCAGAAAACCCUCCAGCACAGUUCAAGAAUAAGCCUGUGGAAAGUUACUUCUUCAAAAGCAAAAGUAUCUCAUAUCAUCUCUUAUCCAUUUGCUUCUCCUUAUCCUGGCAGUUGAAUGAGAGACAAGGAGAAGGAGAACAAUCAACCGGAAGCCGAAGUCAAACCUCUGAUCCUGGGUUGCUUACUUGGAAGUUUGACUGCUUACCUUGUCUGUCACCUCUUUCGGCAGAUCUCCUAGCUCGGCGACUUGGGGGACUCCUACUAUAGGGUUUGUAUCACACUUGACUAAGCCCGAAACUACAACUAAGCUUCAAGUGAAAUUGAUAUAUUACCUUGUGCGUCAACAUCAGCUAAAUACACCAUUCCCGGAUGGAGGAAAGGUACUUCCAGAGAAGGGCAGAUGAAGAUCAGACCACACUUCGGUACUUAGAAGUUUCGUGAUUACUCAAGGGAUUGGAUCUUGCAAGUCCCCAACCGAGGAGUUUCCCUCACUCGGGAACUUAGGGGAGCACUGUUUGUACCAUACUUGACCAAUCCCGAAACUACCGAGCACCGGCCAACGCUAUACUGUCAAGGACCCAGAAGAGUUCCCCUCCGACCAGGAGGCCAAUCACUACUCGACACGUGUCAAGAUUAGAAGCCAAUCAGAGCGCAGCACGUGUCGACAUCAAGAACCAAUCAUAACAUGACACAUGUCAAUGUGACAAAGCUACAAGUUUUUCUAUAAAUAGGGGUCAUUCCCCCACAAUAUUGGCUAAUGCCAUUUGUGUCAAAUCAUUCACAAGAACUCACUAAAUUGAGAGCUUGAUCCUUUGUACUUGUGUAAGCCCUUCACUACUAAUAAGAACUCCUAUACUCCGUGGACGUAGCCAAUCUGGGUGAACCACGUACAUCCUGUGUUUGCUUCUCUGUCUCUAUUCAUUUACGUACUUAUCCUCACUAGUGACCGAAGCAACCAAGCGAAGGUCACAAAACCUGACACUUUCUGUUGUACCAAAGUCUUCGCUGAUUUUGUGCAUCAACAGUUCUCAUACCCAAUACAAAUAAAUAAAUAAACAAAUAAACAAAUAAAAUAUUAAUUUAUAUAUUUGGUUCAAUUCAGAACCAUCAAAAUCGAAAUUGUACCAAUAGUUUUUGGUUUGGUUUUCAAUUGAUUUGGUCUUUCCAGUUUCAGUACAGUGUUCAAUCAUUAUUUUCGGUUUUCCAAGCCCACUCCUAAGAUAUAGAUUAAGUUACACAGAUAUUCCAAAUAUAUAUACACGUACAACAAAACAUCUUAAUAAUGUAGAGUUGAAUUUGUACACUUUCCUAAGUUAUCUUUCACUAAACGAGAAAAGAGUUUAACGGGACUGUUUAGUUUUCCGAUUAAACUUAUCGAUACUAGCUUUUGGCCAUCACCGGAUUCUGGUACAGCUUCUCCGUAACCAAGUUCCGUUAGAGGUUAGAUAUGUCGUACGUACAUUUUGUUAAUUAGAUGAUCAAUUCCAUUAGUUUUACAUUAAUUGUUGUAAAAUUAACCAUGUGCUUGCCUUGUAUAUUAUUAUAUAUGUCGAGGACUUAAAAUCAUAGAAUAAAAUCUAGUUAAAAGAAAAGAGCGUACAAUUAAAAGUGACAAUGUGCUUGCCCGAUUGCUUUCAUUUCCUUAUGUCAGUGAUUGUCUCGUAAUUCAAAUGUUGGUGAACCACAGCAAGUGGUCAGUGGUAAGGGCACGAACUAUGGCUUCCUAAUAAAAAAAAAGUGGGAGGUUUCAAGUUCGUUGUUCCGAGUUGGUGAAUCUGUUUGACUAUGGUCACGGGCAGGGUGAAAUUCCCUAUAACCUCUCUGGGUUCAGAAGUGAUAGAUAACCGUGGUUUGCCACUAGUUAUCUCAUUUUUAGAAAAAAUAAAAUAAAAAGGAAAAAAAAUUGGUGGGCUGUUCGGUUUGACUACACUUCCUUUGCUUUCCAAGCAUCCCACGGCAAAGAAAAUAUGCAAUAGAUCCAUAACCAUAUGAGAGGGACCCAAACUAUCGGGUGACAAAUCAACUUAUUAGAAUGUUAACAAAUAAACAUUUGGACUCUUUUGGUUUGAUUUUAUCAUAAUAGGGUGGUAAGAUUGAUAGGGGAGAUGAUGGUGUAAUAUCUUAUUAUGGUGAAAUCAAACUAAAUGAGUAUUAAUUAUUUCCGUUAAUGUCUAAUGAGUUGAUUUGUCAAUCUAUUUAGCGCUAUUCUAGAAGUCCUGGAAAGUGUUGAGAGUAACACCCCACGUGUCAAGAUACAUGUGGGAAAUAAGUUGGGAUAUUUGGAAAUAUAGCCAUUUUUUAAAUCACUUUUUGAAAUAUAACCUACAUUUUCUAAUUUUAUAAAACUAAACCAAAAUUACAAUUAAAAAGACAUAAUUACCCUUAACCUUCUAUAAACACUCCUGUGCUGUCUUUAGACUCCUCAUCUCCAUUGAAACACCACCACCAAACUUCAUCUAGUGAUCCUGCCAAGCAGUAACUGCAAUUAAAAAGACAUAUUGGAUCGGCUACAAUAGUAUGGCGUAAGGCUUCUCCUGGGAAGAAGGUUGGUUUCAUUGCUGCUAGGUGGACUAGUGGUCUCAGAGGACAAGUUGCUGCAAACGUCUCUAAGGCAGACAAGUGAUGAGAUUACAUUUUCGACUUUUUCUAUAUUUGCCGUGUUUGGACUGUUUAUAUUUUAUUCAAAACUAGUUUGGAGCGUUUUGUGGAGGAAAUUUUGUUUAAGAAAAAAAAAACAACGAGGACAAAGAUUUAGAAAAGAAACACCACGAUUCUGGAAGCGAGGAAUGUUUUAAACUAAGGGCAAUAAGACUUUUUAACUUCAAUUUUGGUUAGUUUUAUAAUAAAUGAAAAAUGUAGGUCAUAUUCCAACAGGUGAUCUCUAAAAUGGCUAUAUUUCCAAGUUUCCCAAGUAAGUUAAGGCUUUCAACAAAAAUUUCAACUGACCGUUGUGUUUGUUGAACUGCAUUGCUGAUUCUAAGGUUAUUGACCAACUUAGCUUGAAUUAAUAUGGAAUUGAACAUAGAUAAAAAGGUCAUCAUCAAUUAGUUACUUGCAUUGGUCACCUAAUUAGGUUGUUUUUUAAUUAUUAUUAUUUUUUUUUUUUAGUUUUGCGAAUGAUUAGGUAUGCAUCUUAAUAAAAGAAAUGUUACACUUUGUUUAGGAAAAAUAUGAGGUUUUCCACCACACAUUAAUAUAAGAGUAAUUUUUAUCCUCAUGCAAUCUCAGUACUACAUGAAGAGCGUGAUAGCGUACUUUUAGCUCCCAGAUCAAUUGAUAUGCCAAAAUAGAAAUGAAUUUAUAGGAGUUCGAACUCAAAUUGAGAGUUUCAGAUCUUUACUCGCUUUCCACUAGACCAAGUUCCAAAUAUUGACUCACUUUCCACUAGACCAACCAAGUAGAGAUGCAUACCCACAGCCGACUGAUUGAUUUGAAGGUUGAUAUUGGUAAAACUGUAUUUCCAAAGCUUGAUCUUCCCAGAUCUCCUCAAAAUUUCAAAUUCAAUUUAUAUAUUCUUCUUCAUAUCCUUUAUUCAAUCUUCAUGCAUGAACGAUGCACAUUGGAGUAUUAUACAAAACAAAACCACCUUUGAUCCUUUAUAUGCAUUUUGAUACCUGUUGAAAAAAUUAAUAUUCCACCGCACAAUAAUUUUUAUUUUCUUAAAAAAUUGGACAACUGGUGGCAAGCUACGGUUAUCCACUCCUAAGCCAUACCACAUGGACGAUCUGUUGAUAAAAUUAUUGUACCGGCACCAGAGUUGCUAGAAAAAGAAGGCCAAGCUUCAAAAUACAUUGGAAUGAACUAUAAGGAGUAUGUCCAGCUUCAACAAAGCUGCAAGAACUAAAUGAAAUCCACCUUUGAUCACAUACUAGCGUAACUAAGCUUUAUACACAGUCCAAUGGCUUGGUCACAGUUCAAGCGAUCUCAACCACAUUGAAAGAGCUGCAGCUUCCUUUUGGCUUCCUUUUCUUCGAACUGUUUUUUGUCAAAAUUUCUCUUCUUUUGUUUCAGUGAUCAUGUCAUAUUCGGUGUUGGCUUGAUGUGUUAUUAACACCAAACAGCUUUGUAAAUUGUACGUAGUUCAAUCAUAUCAAACAAUCUUAGACUAGCAGCCAGUUUCGAGUGAAAAAGAAAGAUAACGGAUUCAAAUCAAGUGGUCCGUCAUCAAGUGAAAAAGAAAACAAGGUUCAUGAGCAGAAUAGCAGCACAUCAGUUUUAAUAUAUAACCCAUUAAAAUAAGACAGAAGAAAGAGAAAGAAAUAUCAAAUCAAGCGCAACUUUUGGAAUCCACAAUAACCAUAAGCAGCCGGUCCAGAGGUUUUUGAGGCUCGGGGCUAUAUAAAAAAAAGUGUCAUAACUUCAUGUAAGAAAAUUAUUUAUUUUCACACAUAAAACAUUAAAAAAAUUAUACUUAGAAAAACACUUCAAACUCAAUAAUUUAGAAACACAGAAAGACUAAUUUAUUUUGUAUUGAGAGAGGGAAACAAAAAACUUCGGACUUACAAGUAGAUAGAUGAUGAGUUUUGUUUUCCAUCUGAAUUUUGAAUGUGUUUUUGAAUAAAUCGUGAGAUUUUUUUUUUCUUAUUUACUAACCUUGUCAAUAUGAGACUAAAAAAUAAUGAUGUUUCGAGUCUUUAAUUGAUAUGUAUUAUUAAUGAAUGGGCACUAAAUUAAAUAUUUUGAUGACAUGUUAUAUAAUUUGCAAAUUUGGUCUACAUAUUAUUCUUUGUUGAAGAUUAGACUUGAAUUAAAACAAAUAUUUAAAAAUAACAACCCACAUAGCUACUAUAUAGUAACUAAAAAUAAAUUAACAACCAAACAAAAAAUUGUAAAAAUUGAAAAAAAAUAAACAUGGCACAUAGCAUUUCGAACUUAGGACCCCUUGUUAAUUUUAAACAACAAAAAUCAUUGUUUCUAAUUAAACUUCUUAAUCCUUUAACCAAAUUUUAUAAAUUUAUACUCUUAUAAAAACAAAUUUGUUUGUUUCUAAUUAAACUUCUUGAUCCUUUAACCAAAUUUUAUAAAUUUAUACUCUUAUAAAAAUAACUUUGUAAAAAAUGGAAAGUAAAUAAGCACACAUGGUGUUUUGAACAUAAGACCUCCUCAUUAUUUUCAAAUGACAAACCACCACUUCUAGUUAAAUUUUUGUGUCUUUGAACCAAAUUUUAUAAAUUUAUACUCUUAUAAAAACAUAUAUAAAUAUAUCACCCUAAUAAUUUUGGUGUCCCUAAUUUUUUUGGGUCAUGGACGGUCGUCCUGCCUGCACUGGGCCUGGGCCGACCUUGGCCCCAGACACCGAGGAAGACAUAAUCAACAAGAAAUAUAUCAAACAGAUGGAUAAAUCCUUUGCAUUUAAGAGACGGAGUUACAGAUAAAGAUAAAGAAAUAGAAAGAAGAGGGGAAAGAAGGAAGAGGCAAGGAGAAAGAAGGUGGGAGAGAAGGAAGGCGGGAGAGAAGGAAGAGGCAAAGAGAAAGAAUGUGGGAGAUAAGGAAGGCGCCAGGGAAUACAAAAAAGGAGAAAGAGAGAAUAUGGGAGAGACAGAUGAGACGGCAGGAAAAAAAAAAUCUAAUGAAAAAGAUUUUAAAAUUCUGGAUGUUAACUAAACAUUCUUUAAUAAUUUUAUUUAAUGGUUAGGACAACGCUCAAUACUAAAUCAGUCUAAUUAAAAUGACUCAAAGUAAUAUGUUUUCUAUUUUACCCCUAACAGCAAAUGAACAUAUGCCGUCCCUCCCUCUUUCUUUUAUUUUUUAUUUUUAUUUUUUUUUCCCGAGCAUCCCGGCUGCUUCCUGUGGGCCGCAAUCAAUAAAAGCCCCUCCCUCCUCUUACCUCUGCUACAUUCCUCCAUUAAUAAUAAAAAAGGACAAGAGUUGAUUUUCUGACCCACAUUACUCACACAUGUCUCUCUCAAUCAUUAUAGUUAUGCCUGGUAAUUCCUAACACGAUCCAAUAAUUCGACACGAUAAGACACAAAAUUAACAGGUGUUUAGAUCGAUACGAUAACGAAUCGAGUCUUAUCGGGUAACCCGAUACGCACCUUUUAAGAUAAUGGGUUGGUUCGAGUAUACACGUGGGUAACACGAUACACGAUAAGCAAAAUAUUAAUUUUAUAAUUUUAUAACCCUAAAAAAAUACUAUAAUAAUUAUAUAUAUAUAUAUAUAUAUAUAUUAAUUUAACAAUUUUAUACCCCUAAUAACUAUAAUAAUUAUAUAUAUAUAUAUAUAUAUUAAAUUAACUACUAAAUUGGUGACCAUUGGAUCGGCUUAAAUAUACAUACCAUUCAAUUUCUUAAGUGUUAUACGUACAAAAUAAAUAAAUUUAAAUCUACUUAAUGAAUAUAUAUAUAUAUAUAUAUAUAUAUACCAUUAAACUUGAUGGGAUACGAAUUCUACGAAACUAAUUUCAACGAUCUAACCGUCAACCUUGUUUGUAUAUGCUUUGAGAUCGCAUCAGCAAAAAAUUGCAAAAAACAAACAUUCAGAUAUUAAGUAAGGGAACAAAACUUUUCGACGGUUAUCAACGAAAAAUCACUAUUUAACAGUUAUUUUAACUCCGAUUUUGAUGAUUUUUUUACAGUUACACUCAUUGACCCUAUAUGAAUAAAAUGAAUGAACUCGAUCUUCAAUUCAAAAUAUUCACACUAGUGGAUACUACAAAAUCUUAUAUUAUACUUAAUAAAAGUAUGAAUAAACUCUUAAGUGUUAGUAAAUCUAUUGUUUUGAUGAGAUACGCAUUCUACGAAACUAGUUUCAACGAUCCAACCAUCAAACAUGAUUGUAUAUGCUUCGAGAUCGCAUACACCAAAAAUUGAAAAAAACAAACAUUCAGAGAUCAAGCAACGGGAUAAAACUUUUCGACAGUUAUCAACUAAAAAUCACGAUUUAACGGUUGUUUUAACUCCGAUUUUGAUGAAUUUUUACAGCUACACUACUUGACCCUAUAUGAAUAUAAUGAAUAAAUUCGAUCUUUAAUUUAAAAUAUUGGCACUAGUGGAUGUGGAUACCACAAAAUCUUAUGUUAUAUUUAAUGAAAGUAUAAAUAAACUCUAAGUGUUAGUGAAUCUAUCGUUUUGAUGGGAUAUGCAUUCUACGAAACUAAUUUCAACGAUCCAACCGUCAAACUUGUUUGUGUAUGCUUCAAGAUUGCAUACGCUAAAAAUCGCAAAAAAUAAACAUUCAGAGAUAAAGUAACAGGACAAAACUUUUUGACGGUUAUCAACGAAAAAUCAUGAUUUAACGAUUAUUUUAAAUCUGAUUUUGAUAAUUUUUUUUACAGCUACACUCCUUGACCCUAUACGAAUACAAUGAAUGAGCUCGAUCUUCAAUUUAAAAUAUUUACACUAGUGGAUACCACAAAAUCUUAUGUUAUACUUAAUGAAAGUAUGAAUAAACUCUUAAAGUGUUAGUGAAUCUAUUGUUUUGAUGGGAUACAUAUUCUACAAAACUAGUUUCAACGAUCCAACCGUCAAACAUGUUUGUAUAUACUUCGAGAUCGCAUACGCCAAAAAUUGCAGAAAACAAACAUUCAGAGAUCAAGUAAUGGGACAAAACUUUUCGACGGUUAUCAACGAAAAAUCACGAUUUAACGGUUAUUUUAACUCCGAUUUUGAUGAUUUUUUACAGCUACACUCCUUGACCCUAUAUGAAUACAAUGAAUGAACUCGAUCUUCAAUUUAAAAUAUUCACACUAGUGGAUACCACAAAAUCUUAUGUUUAAUGAAAGUAUGAAUAAACUUUUAAGUAUUAGUGAAUCUAUUGUUUUGAUGGGAUACACAUUCUACGAAACUAGUUUCAACGAUCUAACUGUCAAACAUGAUUGUAUAUACGUCGAGAUCGCAUACGCCAAAAAUUGCAAAAAACAAACAUUCAGAGAUCAAGUAACGGGAUAAAACUUUUCGAACGUUAUCAACUAAAAAUCAUGAUUUAACGGUUAUUUUAACUCCGAUUUUGAUGAAUUUUUACAGCUACACUACUUGACCCUAUAUGAAUACAAUGAAUGAAUUCGAUCUUCAACUUAAAAUAUUUACACUAGUGGAUACCACAAAAUCUUAUGUUAUACUUAAUGAAAAUAUAAAUAAACUCUAGGUGUUAGUGAAUCUAUUGUUUUGAUGGGAUACACAUUCUACAAAACUAAUUUCAACGAUCCAACCGUCAAACUUGUUUGUAUAUGCUUCAAGAUCGCAUACGCCAAAAAUCACAAAAAACAAACAUUCAGAGAUCAAGUAACGGGACAAAAAAUUUCGACGGUUAUCAACUAAAAAUUACAAUUUAACGGUUACUUUAACUCUGAUUUUGAUGAUUUUUUACAGCUACACUCCUUUACCUUAUAUGAAUACAAUGAACGAAUUUGAUCUUCAAUUUAAAAUAUUUACACUAGUAGAUACCACAAAAUCUUAUGUCAUGAUGAUUGAUGAAAAUUGAGGAUUUUGUAAAAGGAAUAACAUGCAAGCUUUGAGUUCCAUUGGCAAGGUUUAAACUUUUGAGAAAGGCUUCACAACCUUGAAAACAAAAACUCUAUUAUUUUACAUAUCCUUGCACAUUUAAUAUUUGUAAUAGACUAGUAGUGUAUGGAUGUGGCAAUGUGUGGUAUGUGCAAAUUUAAGAAAAAAAGAUAUUUUUCUUAAUGAGUCAUAACGGGUCGGGUCACUUUACAACGGGUCAGGACACUUUACACGUUGGGUAAAGUGACCCGACCUGUUAAGGACCCGUUAAGAUAACGGGUGUGACACGAUACGACCCAUUAAGAUAAUAGGUGUUACACGAAAACGAUACAAACACGACAGACACGACCCGUUUGCCAGACCUAAUUAUAGUCAUGAUAUGACCGAAUAUAUUUGUCAAAAAUGCUAUUCAAAUGUAUAUAUUUUUUAAACUAAAUAAAUAAAUAAUUGUGACUAAUUUGAAAUUGUUGGAUAUAAUUUUUUUUAGGACAAAUUAAAAUGGAGCUCAGAAAGGUUGCAUAUGAUAUCACUGUUUUAAUCUCGUAUGUCCAGACAUAUAUUAGAGCAACACCAUCACUGCACCAACAGAAUAACACGUAAUCAAAAUAAUUAAACACUGAACUACUAAUUCAAUUUAAUUCAGUUUAAAAAGAAAAAUAUGAAAAUAUUUUGCAAAACUAAUAACAAAUAAUCCCCAGAGACAAUUCCACAUAAGUGGAAAUUGCAGACAAUAUACAUAGCAUCAAAUUAUGUCCGCCCGUCUGCUUUUCCUCUUCAUCGAUACAAUUUUUAGCACAAAUCCAUUAAAAGAAAUGCCAUUGAAAAUCCACAAAAAAUAUUAAAUUAUUUUAAAAUCAAUAAAAAAUGGCAAAGCAUAUAGUUGGAUAUAAUUAGGGAAGAUAAGUUGUAUAGCUUAUUAUUAUUAGUAUUAGAUGCAUAAAUUUCAUAAGUUGUAAAGAAACAAAAAGAGUUGCACAUGACGGUGGAUAUUGCAAUUUGCAAGAAUCUAAAGACUUUAUAAUCCACACUAUUUUAGAAUUACAACAAAAUAACAAAUACUAUUUCUGAAGCUGAACUAAAAUAACUCACACUAUUUUUGAAAAGGAAGAAAAUACACACUAAUUUUGGAACAACAACAAAAUAACCCACACUAUUUAUGAAACAAAACCAAAAUAAUCCACACUAUUUCUAAAACAGAACCAAAAUACUCCACGUUAUUUCUGGAACGACACGAAAUAAACACUGUUUCUGAAACUACAGUAAAAUAACUUACACUAUUUAUGAAAUAGAAUCAAAUUAAUAAAAACUAUUUCUAGAAAUACAGCAACAUAACUCAGCUAUUUCAGAAACUGAACCAAAAUAAUCCACACAAUUUCUAAAAAUACAACAAAAUAACUCACACUAUUUUUGAACCUGAACGAAAAUAAUUCAUACCAUUUAUGGAAUUACAACAAAAUAACCCACACUAUUUUUUAAACUGAAUCAAAAUAAUGCAUACUAUUUUUGGUAGGAAAAAAUAAACAUUAUUUUUGAGACAACAACAAAAUAACACACACUAUUUCAGAAACUACUACAAACUAACCAGCACUAUUUUUGAAAAUGAACAAAAUAAAGAGAGUUUUGACAAAAUAACCCAAUCUUGAUUCUUGAAUAUCGUUUGCCCGUCGUUCUCUACAAAAUGGUAGUCUUAUAUGUUGCUAUUUAAUAGUAGAAUCUAUAGAUGAAUUACUUUCGAUUUGGCUAUAUAUAUAACAACAUGAAAUUCAACUUCAUGAAUAAUAUCUGGGAGAAUUGCAUGAAGUUUUCAGUCCUCUCUCCUCUCUCCUCUCUCUCAUGCAAAAUCAUGGUUGCUAUUUUUGUUUCAGAAAACAUAGAAUAUUUUGAUAAAUAUGUUUUUGUUUUUUUGUUUUUUUUUUGUAUUCAUGGCCCUUUUUGGGAUUCUGCACAAUCUUGUGUCUGCCAUGAAUGGACAUAGACAGUAUAUGUUGACAUUCAUGUUCACACGUAUACAUAAUAAAUUAAAUAUGGAAUCCCCAUAUAUGAAUAUAAAAUAUAUAAAUAAAUUUGGGUAAAUUACACUUUACCACCUCAGGUUUGAGGUUUAUUACAACCUCAUUCAAUAUCUUCAAAACAUUUCACUUUCAUACCUCAAGUACUAUUUUAUUUCAAUAUAAUACAUCCGUUCCAUUUUCCAUCCAUUGAUCCGUUAAGAACUGACAUGGUUGGCACAUUUAUGCCAUGUGGCAAUUUUUUUUUUUUUUAAUAGUAAAAAAAAACCUGAAAACCCCGAAACCCAUUCCCCCAGACCACCUACCUCUCCUUCACUCUCUUCACCUCCCAUCCCAUCCAAAAACCCACCUCAUCCCACCCCACCCCACCCUACCCUUACCUUCCCCGCAAGCCCCACCCCACCCCACCCCACCCCACCCCCACCUUCAUCGAGCCUUUUCUCCUCUUUACCCCCACCCCCUUUCUCCCUUCUCUCAUCUGCAACACUACCCACCCUUCCCUUCUAUCCGUUACUUAUCAUCUUUCCCGACCCCUUCCCCUUCCCCGCAACCCAAACCCCCUCAUCUCACCCUACACCCACCUCCCUCGCAACCCCCCCCCAACCCCACCUCACCCCAAGCGAUCCCUAGAUCUGGACCUCGACAACCAGUCAACGACCCAUAUGCGCCGAACAACCCAGAAACCUCGAAUAUGGUGAUGGUCUUCUCACCGAGCUCGAGUCCUUCGGCCAGUCACACUAGGCCCUAUUAUUGAAGUCGUCGGCGAUGAAUGUUUGGCUAUGAGGAUGAAAGAGAUAAAGGUGGUUGCUCCGGUGGGAUGAAAGGAUUGACAUGGUGGUUGUAUGAGAUGGGUGGUGGUGAUAGAGAAAGAAAGAAAUGAAGUUAGGAGGCUCGGGAGGGAGAAGAUGGGUAGGGGGUUGCAGGAAGGUGGGGCUGGGGUUUUGAGGAUUCAGGUUUUGUUUUUUUGUUUUUUUUGGAUUAAAAAAUUAUUUUUUUUGCCAUGCACAAAUUUGGCAGCCAAGUGGCACAAAUGUAGCAUCCACGUCAGCUUUUAACGGAUCAAUGGAUGGAAAAUGUAACGGAUGUAUUAUGUUACAAUAAAAUAGUACUUGAGGUAUAAAAGUGAAAUGUUUUGAAGAUAUUGUAUAAGGUUGUAAUAGACCUCAAACAUGAGGUGGUAAAGUGUAAUUUACGCAAUAAAUUUUGUCAUAACCUUGGUUAGGGCCCACACAAAGAAAAGGAGAGUUUCCUUUAAACAAAGGCAAAGUUUUGUUGGGAUGGUGGAGCACUAGAAGCCUCAUCACGUUCGUGUUUAAUGAGAUAGUGGGUUAACUGAUGGGAUGAGCUUCUGUCAGGGGCAAGGCUGAAAAAUAAAGUUUUGCUUUUGCACAUGCGCCUGUAUUCUAGUUAUGAGAAUUUAAAUUUUUUUCCUCAUUAUAUUGUAUUAUGUCAUUUUUAUUAGGGUAAAUUACAUAAUACCCUAUCAGGUUUGAGGUCUAUUACAACCACAUACAACAUCUUUAAAACAUUUCAUUUACAUACCUCACGUACUAUUUUAUUUCAAAAUAAUACAUCCGUUAGAUUUUCCAUCCAUUUGUCUGUUAAAUGCUGACAUUGCUGCCACAUGGCAAAUUUUUUUUUUAUACAUUAAAAAUAUUAUAAUAUUAACCCUAUUAAAAAAAUAUCAGAAAAACCCAAACCCAGAAAUCCUUCCUCGCAACCCUACAUCCCACCCCACCCCCUUACCCAUCUCUUCCUUCUCGUCCGUCCAUCCCCUCCACCUCUCCAUCCAUCCCCUCCACCCGAGCACCCCUCAGCGUGGGUCCCACCUUGACCUCUCGAUCUCUCUCUCCCAGAAAUCCUUCCCCACAACCUCACAUCCCACCCUCACCCUCUUACCCAUCUUUUCCUUCCCGUCCAUCCAUCUCCUCCACCCUUCCAUCCAUCUUUCCACCUUUCCAUCCCCUCUACCUGAGCACCUCUCAGCUCGGGUCCCACCUCAACCUUUUUCUUUCUUUCUCUCUCUCUCAUUUCCUCCCCUUCUCUGCCAGAAAUCCUUCCCCGCAACCCCCAAUCCCACCCCCACCCCCAUACCCAUCUCUUCCUUCCCGUCCGUCCAUCUUAACUUCGACGACCUCUUCCUCUUCGACUUUUCCAACAUCGACCUCUCCUGCCUCGCCUCCCCCAACCUCCUACCUUGAGUCCGACGACUCAUCGGGGGGCCAACUACCCAACCCCUUCUCCUCGAUCCCCAAGUCCAUCGCUUCCUCCGGUUUCACCGCCAUUGCUGCCCACCUUCAGAGCUUCUCCGUCGACUUUGACUUUUUUGACAACCUGGGCAGGACUCUCUACGAGUUUGGGGGUUAGGUUAUUAGGGUUUCGGAGUGGGGAUUUUGUAAAUGGGUUGGUUGGUGGGUAGAAUUAGGUAUGGAAGUGCUUUAAUGGGGAUGAACCGCGAGCUGAACAAUGGAUUUUGUAAAUGGGAGUUGUAGAGAUAUGAGGGGGAAGGAAGGGGAUAUGGGUUCGGGUUUUUCUAAUUAUUUUAUUUAUUUAUUUAAAUAGAUUUAAUAUUAUAAUAUUUUUAAUGUAUAAAUUUUGUUUUGCCACGUGGCAGCCAUAUCAGCACAAAUGUGGCAGUCACGUCAGCAUUUAACAGACCAAUAUAUGGAAAAUCUAACGGAGGUAUUAUUUUUAAAUAAAAUAGUAUGUGAGGCAAGGUUCUAAAAAACGCUAGGCGCUAGUCGAGUGGUGGGCUAGCGCCUAGCGCCUAGACCGCCUAGGUGGAUUUAGAUAAAUUUCUUGUAUAUCUUGUAAAUAAGUACAUAUUGACACUUACAAAAAAUUAUACUUGUAUGAAAUCCAUGGAUAAGAUAAUAAAAGAAUGAUAAAAUGCAAAAAGAGUAUCCAACAAGUCCAAAAUUUAAAAACACAUUAAGCAUAUAUGCCAUAUAACCAUAGUGAGGAGUAUUGUUAGAUGACACAUGUACAACAAGUUCACAAUUUAAAAUAACAUAAAAUGGAAAAUAGGUGGAAAAUAAGGAAAUUUAGUAAUGUAAGAUACUUAUCUUUAGCAUCCCGGAAUUUAAGUUGGUACACAACACACAUAUUCUAUAAAAUUAACAAAAUUUCAAGGUAUAAUUAGAACUUAGACUUUAAACAAAUUUAAAAAAAAAAGAAAAAAAAAAGCCACCCAGCUGCCUAGGCCCACCUAGCCCGCUUAGGACUGCCUAGCCCACCUAGGGCCACCUAGAGCCACCUCGAUUUUUCCAGCCGUUUUGCACAAAAUCUCCUCGGUUCCAAGGCGCCUAGCGCCUAGGCGGCCGCCUAGGGCGUUUUUUAGAACAGUGAUGUGAGGUAUGAAAGUGAAAUGUUUUAAAGAUGUUGUAAUAGACCUCAAACCUGAGGGAGUAUUAUGUACUUUACCCUUUUUAUUAAAUCUCAAGCCCUUUACAUUAAAUAAAGUUAUAGGAUGAUUUUUUUUUAUUAAAAUAAACUUAGCCCAAACUCUUUUAAUUAAAGCUUAAAAAAAAAAAAAGAGAAAUAAGAGGGAAAAUAGGCUUGGUUUUAGGGGACGAGGUUUUCAAUAUAUUUGACUUUUAAGUUGGAUUUACAUAGUUUUGCGUUGAAAUUAAGCUAAUGAUUGAUUUUCUUUUUUGAGUACUUCGAUAUUUUUAUACUAAGGGGAGGGGUAGUUCGACAAAACCAUACAAUGAGCAGCCUAAUUUAGUAUCGAAUUCGCCAUCUACGAGAUUCGCUUCUAAGACCUCUCACUUUUAAGUGAAGAGGAAUACCACCAAAUCAUAGUACUGAGUGGCAGCUAAUGAUUGAUAUUGAGUUUAAAAAAUGAAUGCUCCAUAUAAAUAAAUAAAAAAAUUAUUAAUUUAUAUUAUUUUAUGAGAAUUUAUAUAUUAUUUAGUUCAAUUCAGUUCAAUUUUUGUACCAUCAAAAGUGAAACCGAACCAAUAAAUUUUAGUUUAGUUCGGUUUGGUUUUCUAGUUUCAAUUUGAUUUUUAAUUGGUUUGGUCUUCUUUAGUUUCAGUUUAGUGUUCGGUCUUUUUGUUUUUUUCUUUUCGGUUUUCCAAGCCCACCCCUUAGAUUAAGUUGCACAUAUAAACCGUCUUAUUUUCCAAACAUAUAUAUGUACAACGAAACAUCUUAAUAAUGUAGAGGUAUCUUUCCCUAAACGACAAAAAGGUUGCAUUCAUUUCCUUUUGUCAUUGGUUGUCCAAAAAUGUUACUCUUAUUUAUUUGUGUCAUCUUUCUAAUAAAGAUAUGAUCUAUAUACACUGGCAGGCCAUAUCUUUAUUAAAUAGAUGAUACAAAUAAGUGAUAAGUGUAAUAUUACUCUUGUUCAAGCAUCCCACGGCAAAAAAUAUGCAAUAGAUCUAGAAACAAAUGAGAGAGACCUAGAGAACCAUUAGGUUGUUAACAGAAAAAUAUUUAGACCGUUUGAUUUAAUCUAAAGGAUUGUUAUUAGCAUUUCUAAAAUUUCAUUUCACACUCCAAAUUUUCUAUAAUAAGAAAAAAAAAUACACUUGUGAGGAGUGUAUAAUGAGAUUUUUGGAAUGCUAAUAACACUUCCCUAAUCAUAAUAUGACAGUGAGAUUAGUAAUGGAGAUGAUGGCAUAAUACCUUAUUACGGUGAAAUCAAACUAAAUGUAUCUUAAUUGUUUCCUAUUAAGACUUAAUGAGUUGAUUUGUUAAUCUAUUUAGCUAGCUAUUCUAGAAGUUCUUGAAAGUCUUGAGAGCAACACCCCGCGUGUCAAGAUACAUGUGGGAAAUAAGUUCAGGCUUUCAACAAAAAUUUCAACUGGCCACUGUUUGUUGAACAGCAUUGCUGAUUCUAAGCUUAUUGAAUUGACUAUACAAAACGAGCAACUUAUAGAUAAAAAAAAGUGGUCAUGAUUAAUUAAUUACUUGCAUUCGUCACCUAAUUAGGUUCUUUUUUUUCUUUUUUUUUUUAAAUUUUGUGAAUGAUUAGAUAUCUAUUACAAGAUAAAAGAAGAUAAUGAAAAAGAAGCAGAGCUAGAAGAAGGAGACAAACGAUACUAGAACAAUAUAAUAGAAGAAGAACUACACAACAAAGACAACAUGAUGGAAGCCUAGAAGAGUUGAAAGUAGAUAAGCAAAAGUUGAAAGAGCAAAAUAAUAAUGCAAUAAGUGGGGAAUAUGUCACAAUAGCACUGUGCAAAGUUACAUACAAUAAGUCUAGCAUUAGGCAAAAAUAUAAACAUCACUAUGGGACCCACGAUAAUAAAUAAAAUAAUGACAUAAGAGUAAAUAAAAAAAUACUUAAUCCAUUAUGGACAUUUUCCACCAAAAAUUCCCUUUUAAUUAAAAAUAAAAUUGAAAGGAGUUUUCAUUAAAUUCCCUUUUUGUAAACGAUGAAUAAAAUACUUUGUAGAUUCCAUAUUUUAAUUUUAAUUUUAAUUUAAGAAAUGUUAAUGGGACUCUCUCAAAGUAAGACUAUCCAUGGACUCACUGCCACCUCAUAAUUUAACAUUUGUUCUUGUGCCAACAUUAUAAAACAUUGUGCUAAAAACAUGCGGUAGCAAAGAGUCCCUAGAGACUCCACCUUUUGAAAGAGCCUCCUUAACAUUUCUUAAAUUGAAAAAUGCUAAAGAGAUUCUUUCAAAGUGAGUCUUUUCAUGGACUCAUUGCCACCUAACAGUUUAACGUUUUUUCUUGUGCCAACAUUAUUAAACAUUGUACCAAAAACAUGAGGUGGCCAAUGUUCUAAAAGAUGCUAGGCGCUAGUCUGGCGGCGUCCUAGAGCCUAGCGCUAGACGGGGCCUAGGAGGAUUUACGUAAAAUCGUAUAAAUAAGUGACUAUUUAUAUUUAAAAAAAUACAUAAUUGUACUGAGAUACAUAGAUUACAAAAUAAAAUAACAUAUAGAUUAUUUUAAGUAAAUUUAUUACAUAUAAUAAUAAUAAUAAUAAUAAUAAUAAUAUGACUUAUGUGCAUAAGUUGAGGAAUAUUUCUUUUGGUUUUGUAACAUUUUUGCUUAGCCUAAUAUGUUUUAAUCAUUGUUAUGCCUUACUUUUCAUUAAAAAAAGAUUGAGCUUGUUUUCACAUUAAAUAAAUAAAUAAAAAUUUAUUCCCUAAUUUUAAAAGAACUACCAGCCAAUUUUAAAAUCUUUAACUCUAGCCCUAGCCAACAUAAACUCUGUGUUGUCGCACUUCUUCUCUGCAAUUGCAGAUUUGACAGAGCUCCGUCUCUCCCUUUGUCUCUUCCUCUCAUGUCAAAUGUUUUAGGCCGACUCCUCUUCUACGCACGUAGAGAAGGGAAAAGGAGCAGCAACAUGAAGACUACCUUUGCAACGAUAAUUUUUCUUGAGUUACAUAACCGCCCGGGGGUCGCUGAGGCCGCCUAGCCCUCCUAGGGGGCCGUCUAGGCGCCGCCUAAUAGUCUAGCCGACUUGUUGAAUGAUUUUGCUGAAUUGACGGCAGUCGGUCUCCGUCGAGUGCCUAGGUCGAUUUUUACAACACUGGAGAUGAUAGAGAGUCCCACUUUUUGGAGUCUCUUUAACAUUUCUCUUAUAAUUUUUGGAAACAAUUAUUUUUUGGGUACAAAUUUCUAGAAAGAUAUUUUUUGGAGAGUGCUAUCCAAGCACAUAUUUCUAUUUCUUACACAUCCCUCUUAAUUUCCUACUAUCGGAUUAAAUGAAUUGAAGAAGGUUAAUCGCAAAAAAUUAGCAAGGGUUUGUGAGAGAUAAAAUGUGUGGGUGAAUAUCACUACUUUAAAAAAAAAAGAAAAAAAAAAAAACACUCCCAAAGUAGCUUGGAUUCGGUAAGUGGGAUGAAUUUUUGUCUGUUAUUAUAUUUAGGAAGUGCUAUAUUCAUACAUUAUUUUUCACUUUUUACACAUCCUUACUAAUUUUUUGUCAUUAAUUUUUUUUUAAUUCAUUCAAUUUAACGGUCGAAAAUUAAGAAGAAUGUAUAAAAAAUACGAAUGAAUGUCUGGAUAGUGCUACCUUAUAUUUGUAGCGUUGAAGGACGUAACGGUUUGCUUGCCAGUUUUGCUUUGUUUGAUGGUGUUGAAGGACGUAACCAUGUGCUUUUCAAAUUCGCUUUGUUAGUUUAAAUAGUCUCAUAUAUUCCAAUGUUGGUUUUCGAGUAAAAAUAAAACAAAAAACAUUCCAAUGUUGGUGGGCUGAUAAGUUUUGAUUAUGCUUUCUUGCUUAAUUUCCUGCCCUCCUCGUGUACCCGCAGGAAUCCCACGAUUCCAGAAGUCCUCGCUUGAGAGCGCAAAAUAUAGCCAUCAUGUGAUGGAAGAAAGACCAUACGGUAAAUGCUACACUUACUAUUAUGAUGUACUAUCACUUAUAUCAUAUCUCUAAUAGAGAUGGAUUUGCUAACGCAUGUGAGUCUCAUCUUUAUCAGAGAGAUGAUAAAGUGAUGAUACAACUAGAUGAUGAGAAUAGCAUUUUUGCAUAAAAUAUGGUUGAUAUUUUGACUUGCAAAAAUAUGGGUGGUGCCGGUGGCACUCUCAAUACUUGCGAGGACUUCUGCAAUUGUGGGUUCAAAAUUCAGUGGUAAAUGGCGGAUUACGAGACUUUUUUAAAACAAAAAACUGGAGGUUUCGGGUUCGAAAUCCGCUGCUGGUGUGGAAGCCAAACUUAUGGCUAAAGAGAGGCUGAAAUGCCUAUGUGAGUUUUCUUGACUUUCAAAAGAGAUGAAUAACCGUGACUUAUCAUCAGUUUUCCUUAUUUUUAAAAUUAAAAAAAAAAAAAAACAUUGUUGAAAAGGAAGAACUGAUCUUUGAUUAUCAAAUUGUUGGAUACUCUUAUAGACCUAUUAUCAAUGUCUAAAAUAUCGAUAUUAUCCCGAUAUUUCCAUCGAAAUUUCCGUGUUUUUGGAGUACCGAUAUUUCCGAUAUCAUCGAUAUUUUAGACCUUGAUAGGAACUCUAUGUGGUAAUAAGUCACUCAUGUAUCUUACCAUGCAAUGUAUGAAGUGUAAAAUAUUGUACUAAUUCAUUAUAUAUAAAUGAUAUGGUGUGUUUAAACUUCUUUCAUUAAUUACUACAUAUUUUCUACACUCACAAUGUUUGUCAACUCGCUAUAUAAUCAACUUAAAUCAGUUAAAUCCAUUAUGCAAUGCAUUUCCUUCCAAUUUUUUUUUGUGAUAAACUAAUAGAUUAUUGACUAAAUAAACAUUCUGCAAAGUUUCAAUAAAAAUUUCCAGGUUUUUCUUAAAAUUUCCGUGGUUUUUAUUCAAUUUUUUUCGAUAUCGAUAAUAUCCCGAUAUUUCCAUCGAAAUUUCCGUAUUUUUAGACCACCGAUAUUUCCGAUAUAAUCGAUAUUUUAUAUCUUGCCUAUUAUAUAACUCUUAUAGACUCAUCAUUUCAUCUCAGAAACUUCAUUUUGAAAUUGAUUAGUUUAGUACUUAAAUAUAUUGUAGAAUAAUUAGAUAGCUAAUUUCUCAAAAAAAAAAAAAAAAUACUACUUUAUUCUUGUAGACUGGUCAUUUCAAUGUUAUUUUUUUUUUAAUCUCGAUACGUAUGAGAAGGUUGGCCACCGACACCAAAUUAAUUAGUGAUUCCUAAAGCUUACUUCUGGAUUUGGACCCCAUCUGCAUCAUUUUUGUCAUGAUCCUAAGAAUCAAAUCUUAUCCGAUAAUUUAUCAAUCACAAAUUAUUUUAUUUAAAAUUAAACAUAAACAAUGUCUAACAAAAAUUGAUCGUAUAAUGUACGAUAAACGGAUAAAAUAUGAAGAUCCUCACAAACAGAAUCCGGAGAAAAUCCUCAUUCCUUACUUAUAUAACCAUACAUAACUUUCAUAAAAGGUGGGCUGGACAACGAACACGUUGAUUUAUAAUACGGAUUAUGAACACGAGAAAGUUGAUGACAUACGUCCCAGCUUCUCAGUGUCUAGCUAGCUCUAUAAAAUGGAACCAUUUCCUUCAUUUAUCAUCACAAAAGUUUCAUCUCGAUCGACUUACUUAUAAUUCUUUUUACUCAUCCUCUUCUGAUAUACAUAAUAUUCUCUGAGUCUUUGAAAUUUGAAGAUAUGGCUCCAGUUGCUACUCAAACCAUGGAUGUAAAGAGCAUCAAAUCGCUUGCGGAAUCACCCGCUCUCUGCUCUGUUCCUUCUGCUUAUGCCUUCAACAUAAACCCCAAUGAUGAAGCAGAUCCAAACGAUCCCGAAUUUGCAAUCCCUAUAGUUGAUAUGUCUCUUCUCACCUCGGGAUCUCCUGAUCAACGCUCCAAAAUAAUCCACGACCUGGUCAAAAUUUGCAAAGAAUGGGGCUUCUUCAU